RNAcentral lists this long non-coding RNA (867 nucleotides) under Macaca mulatta (Rhesus monkey). RNAcentral's name for it is "lncRNA (ENSMMUG00000061981.1)". Lineage: Eukaryota; Metazoa; Chordata; Mammalia; Primates; Cercopithecidae. The record is from RNAcentral.
GUGAUUGUCUAUCAUAACUUGGAUGGUAAUAAAAUAAAGUAAAAAAAUUUAAAAAGAAAAAUAAUAGAUACUACAAUCAGAUGAUUGACAAGUAUGUAAGGAAGUUUCCACUUGUAUAACAUCAUGCUAGCUAUUAUGACAAAUGCAGGGAUAAAACAGACUCUUAUAGCCUGCUAGAGGAGAUACCAUUUACAUUCAUGAAAAAUGACUGUGUUUAACCUAUUGUAGUUGUAAUUACAUAUCUGUGUGGUUACAGCAGUAGAAAAGGAGUUCGAGAUAGGAGUGAAUACUGUGACCUGAGGUUAUCAUUUCAUCUUUACAAUAUGCUUAGCACUAUGUAAGAAAUUGGAAAUACAAGAAGACAGAGUUCUUAUUCUCAAGAAACUCAGAAUCUCCUGAACCAAGAUUGAAGUUGGGAAAAGCAAUCACUGUCAGAAAGCAAACCCUCUUGUGCCUGGUGCUCAGCUGGAAGAUUGUUCUGGACUCUGGGGAUUAUAUCACCAAAAAUGUUAAAUAAGCAGUUCACCAUGAGUUUCCCACAUGGGGAUUCUGCAAUGCAUGUGCUAAAGUAGGCCAACUGACUCCUGCGUGAGAAAAUGGAAUAGAGCGUUUUAUGCCCCCUGCCCAACUUUAAAUGUCCAUGCUUCUUUUUCUCUAUUUAAAAACAGGUUUAGUGAAUAAUAAACUUUCAAAUUUCCUUCCUUCACAACAACUGACCAUGACUAACUCUUUGUGAAAGAACUCUGAACACUAUAAGGACAUUUGAACUUCUAAAUUUGCUGAAUGGUUGAGUAGAUAUAAACAGGAAAACCUUGAUCUUGACACACAAAUUGACUACUGAAAGCAGGAUGAAGAAAGAGGAAGAAA